This 371-nucleotide ribosomal RNA is filed under the name uncultured bacterium. Its description in RNAcentral is "bacterial SSU rRNA". It matches the Rfam family "Bacterial small subunit ribosomal RNA", at positions 527 to 896 of the family's 1533-position model. The record is from RNAcentral.
GGAGGGUGCAAGCGUUGCUCGGAAUUAUUGGGCGUAAAGGGUAGGUAGGUGGUCUCGUUUGUCUGGGGUGAAAGCCUUGAGCUUAACUCAAGAAGUGCCUCAGAAACGGCGAGACUAGAGUACUGGAGAGGGUCGUGGAAUUCCCGGUGUAGCGGUGAAAUGCGUAGAGAUCGGGAGGAACACCAGAGGCGAAGGCGGCGACCUGGACAGUUACUGACACUCAACUACGAAAGCGUGGGGAGCAAACAGGAUUAGAUACCCUGGUAGUCCACGCUGUAAACGAUGGGUACUAGACUUGGCGGGAUUUGACCCCUGCCGAGUCGCAGCUAACGCAAUAAGUACCCCGCCUGGGAAGUACGGUCGCAAGACUA